This 1059-nucleotide ribosomal RNA is filed under the name Microbacterium foliorum. RNAcentral's name for it is "bacterial SSU rRNA". It matches the Rfam family "Bacterial small subunit ribosomal RNA", at positions 401 to 1476 of the family's 1533-position model. The record is from RNAcentral. Lineage: Bacteria; Bacillati; Actinomycetota; Actinomycetes; Micrococcales; Microbacteriaceae.
GAGGGGCCGCCGCCUUGGGGUGGAAACCUCUUUUACCGGGAAAAAGGAAAAGGCCGGUCCCUCCAGAAAAACCCCGGUUAAUUCGGGCCAGCAGCCGCGGUAAUACGUAGGGCGCAAGCGUUAUCCGGAAUUAUUGGGCGUAAAGAGCUCGUAGGCGGUUUGUCGCGUCUGCUGUGAAAUCCGGAGGCUCAACCUCCGGCCUGCAGUGGGUACGGGCAGACUAGAGUGCGGUAGGGGAGAUUGGAAUUCCUGGUGUAGCGGUGGAAUGCGCAGAUAUCAGGAGGAACACCGAUGGCGAAGGCAGAUCUCUGGGCCGUAACUGACGCUGAGGAGCGAAAGGGUGGGGAGCAAACAGGCUUAGAUACCCUGGUAGUCCACCCCGUAAACGUUGGGAACUAGUUGUGGGGUCCAUUCCACGGAUUCCGUGACGCAGCUAACGCAUUAAGUUCCCCGCCUGGGGAGUACGGCCGCAAGGCUAAAACUCAAAGGAAUUGACGGGGACCCGCACAAGCGGCGGAGCAUGCGGAUUAAUUCGAUGCAACGCGAAGAACCUUACCAAGGCUUGACAUAUACGAGAACGGGCCAGAAAUGGUCAACUCUUUGGACACUCGUAAACAGGUGGUGCAUGGUUGUCGUCAGCUCGUGUCGUGAGAUGUUGGGUUAAGUCCCGCAACGAGCGCAACCCUCGUUCUAUGUUGCCAGCACGUAAUGGUGGGAACUCAUGGGAUACUGCCGGGGUCAACUCGGAGGAAGGUGGGGAUGACGUCAAAUCAUCAUGCCCCUUAUGUCUUGGGCUUCACGCAUGCUACAAUGGCCGGUACAAAGGGCUGCAAUACCGCGAGGUGGAGCGAAUCCCAAAAAGCCGGUCCCAGUUCGGAUUGAGGUCUGCAACUCGACCUCAUGAAGUCGGAGUCGCUAGUAAUCGCAGAUCAGCAACGCUGCGGUGAAUACGUUCCCGGGUCUUGUACACACCGCCCGUCAAGUCAUGAAAGUCGGUAACACCUGAAGCCGGUGGCCUAACCCUUGUGGAGGGAGCCGUCGAAGGUGGAAUCGUAUAGC